Molecule: long non-coding RNA, 1213 nt
Filed under: Homo sapiens (human)
Lineage: Eukaryota; Metazoa; Chordata; Mammalia; Primates; Hominidae
Description: long intergenic non-protein coding RNA 1514
Source: RNAcentral
GUUGCCCAGGCUGGGGUGCAGGGGCAUGAACAUGGCUCACUGCACCCUUGACCUUCUGGGCUCAAGCGAUCCUCUUGCCUCAGGCUUCUGUUUAGCUGGGGCCACAGGCGGGCACCAAAAUGCCUGGCUAAUUUUUUUGUUUUUAUUUUGGUAGAGACGAGGUCUCACUUUGUUGCCCAUGCUGUUCUCAAACUUCUCGGCUCAAGUGAUCCUCCCACCUCGGCCUCCCAAAGUGCUGUGUUACAGGCAUAAGCCACUGCACCUGGUCUCUACUUCGUUCUUACUCUUCUUCCCGACUCUGUGAUCAGCUCUUUUUCCUCACUGACAUCUCUUAUCACCAGCAGAGGCCUACCACUAGACACCAGGUCCGUAUUGGAAGCCUUGACUCUGGCCCAGACAUUUCUGCUGUACCUCAUGUAGGGUGAGCCCAGGACCUGCCACACUGUGCCAGCCUCGCCCAAGCCACCCCCCAGCCAGGACGCGGUCUUUCCUGACUCAGCAGGCUGAGGCACCUGAGGCUUUCAUUUUAAUUAUGAACCACUUCAAAGCCUUUCUGGAAGCAGUCUCUGCAAUAACCAACCUGGGUUCUCUCCUAAUGUGGGGAUUGUCCUGGAGCCCAGGCCUUCCAAGGCUCCUCCGCCCGCCAACAUCACCUACCUCAUCUUCCUCUUCAGCACAUCCCCAACAUUGUCUAAGCGGUAACUCACCUGAGCAAAGCACUUGACACGGAUUCAUUCAUUUACUCCUCACAACAACCUGAUGAGAGCACUGAUUAACUUCAAAGGGGAAAAACAAUAACCUUUACAAUGGAUAGAUCUGGCAGGAACCAUGUUAACCAAGUGAUCAAAGGUAGCAUCACCAAUAAUGGGGCAAACCGACAUCCUGUGCUUCCCCAUUGAUGCGCCGAGAAGGACACAGCAUUGCUCAUGCAGCAUCCUUGUCAAAAAUGCGUAAACGGAAUCUAAUCAUGAGAAAACUGCCAGACAGCCAAACUCUUCAGAAAUGUCAAUAUAAUGAAAGGCAACAAAGAUUGAGAAUAACUUUACCAGGUUAAAGAAAACUAAAAAGAUAUGACAACUGACUGCAACGCAGAAUCCUGGACCAGACCCUGGAUCUGGUCAAAAGAAAAAUGCUUUAAACGACAGUAUUGGGACAAAGGGUAAAAUUUGAAUGUGGAUCAUGUAAUAGAUGAAUAAUAUAUUGUAUCAAUGAU